RNAcentral lists this ribosomal RNA (301 nucleotides) under uncultured bacterium. RNAcentral describes it as "partial 16S ribosomal RNA". It matches the Rfam family "Bacterial small subunit ribosomal RNA", at positions 509 to 809 of the family's 1533-position model. The record is from RNAcentral.
CAGUCGCCACGGUAAUACGAAGGGUGCAAGCGUUACUCGGAAUUACUGGGCGUAAAGCGUGCGUAGGUGGUGGUUUAAGUCCGUUGUGAAAGCCCUGGGCUCAACCUGGGAAUUGCAGUGGAUACUGGGUCACUAGAGUGUGGUAGAGGAUAGUGGAAUUUCCGGUGUAGCAGUGAAAUGCGUAGAGAUCGGAAGGAACAUCUGUGGCGAAGGCGACUAUCUGGGCCAACACUGACACUGAGGCACGAAAGCGUGGGGAGCAAACAGGAUUAGAGACCCGAGUAGUCCCUGUCUCUUAUAA